This 330-nucleotide long non-coding RNA is filed under the name Amphimedon queenslandica. RNAcentral describes it as "uncharacterized LOC109591690, transcript variant X2". Lineage: Eukaryota; Metazoa; Porifera; Demospongiae; Haplosclerida; Niphatidae. The record is from RNAcentral.
AAAGAAGAUAGAGGAGGAGUUCGACAAAGAACUCAUAAUGUUGAUCAAUCUCAGCAGCAGCAGCAGUAGCUUGCUUCUCAGAUUUCACAAACCAAAAAAGGUGGUUUCUUGGAAAAUUAUAGGAAAGAGAUCGGCUUUACCUUAACAUUAUCAUUUUCCUAUCUUUUAUAUUAUAUUGCUUCCCCGACUUUAAAGGUCCAAUAAUAGGAGCCUUCGUCACUAUUGCAAUAGGUGCGUUGAGUGGAUUGGUUAAUCAUUGCUUGAAAUCUAAUGUUCCUGGUUCUGCUGGAGUGUGACUUGUUUGUUUAAAAAAACUAAUUAAGCUAAAAA